CAGUCGCCGCGGUAAUACGAAGGGUGCAAGCGUUACUCGGAAUUACUGGGCGUAAAGCGUGCGUAGGCGGUUGGUUAAGUCUGCUGUGAAAGCCCUGGGCUCAACCUGGGAACUGCAGUGGAAACUGGCCAGCUAGAGUGUGUCAGAGGAUGGUGGAAUUCCCGGCGUAGCGGUGAAAUGCGUAGAGAUCGGGAGGAACACCAGUGGCGAAGGCGGCCAUCUGGGACAACACUGACGCUGAGGCACGAAAGCGUGGGGAGCAAACAGGAUUAGAUACCCCCGUAGUCCCUGUCUCUUAUAC
Molecule: ribosomal RNA, 301 nt
Filed under: uncultured bacterium
Lineage: Bacteria
Description: partial 16S ribosomal RNA
Rfam family: Bacterial small subunit ribosomal RNA
Source: RNAcentral